Molecule: ribosomal RNA, 117 nt
Filed under: Sorex araneus (European shrew)
Lineage: Eukaryota; Metazoa; Chordata; Mammalia; Eulipotyphla; Soricidae
Source: RNAcentral
GUAUAUGGAUGUACCACCCUGAAUGUGCCCAAUCACAUCUGAUCUCCAAAGCUAAACAGGGUCGGGUAUGGUUAGUGCUUGGAUGGGAGACUUCUUGGAUGGUAGCUUCUAAGUGCU